This 319-nucleotide long non-coding RNA is filed under the name Homo sapiens (human). Its description in RNAcentral is "HSALNT0321755". The record is from RNAcentral. Lineage: Eukaryota; Metazoa; Chordata; Mammalia; Primates; Hominidae.
UGAAGGAAAACAUCAGAAGAAACAGGUUAAAGAAUUAGAUGUGGUCCUCACAGGGAAUAUUUGUUUCUGGGAGAAUAACAAAAAGAAGGAAGAUUCAGUAGGAAAGGAAAGCAAUGAAGAAGCCAAGAAAGAGACAAGGAACCCCGGAAAGAGAGUCAGCAAAGAGAGAAAUAGAAACAUUAAUUUCAGGUGAAGAAACUGAAGACUUUAGCCAGAGCCAAGUGGCUAAUUCAGAGUUUAAUACACCUUUGACCUCAAACCCUUUGUGGUCACCUUUGAACAGUGCCUCCCUCUCUGAAAUAAAAUACUGGUUCUGUCA